AAACUUUCAACAACGGAUCUCUUGGUUCUCGCAUCGAUGAAGAACGCAGCAAAAUGCGAUAAGUAUUGUGAAUUGCAGGAUUUUGUGAAUCAUCGAAUUUUUGAACGCACAUUGCG
This 116-nucleotide ribosomal RNA is filed under the name [Lipomyces] yamanashiensis. RNAcentral's name for it is "Lipomyces yamanashiensis 5.8S ribosomal RNA". It matches the Rfam family "5.8S ribosomal RNA", at positions 1 to 115 of the family's 154-position model. From Rfam's summary of the family: 5.8S ribosomal RNA (5.8S rRNA) is a component of the large subunit of the eukaryotic ribosome. It is transcribed by RNA polymerase I as part of the 45S precursor that also contains 18S and 28S rRNA. Lineage: Eukaryota; Fungi; Ascomycota; Lipomycetes; Lipomycetales; Lipomycetaceae. The record is from RNAcentral.